GACGAACGUUGGCGGCGUGCCUAAUACAUGCAAGUCAACUGAAAUACCGGUAGCAAUACUGGUAUGGAGGUGGCGCACGGGUGAGUAACACGUAGGUAAUCUGCCUUCAGGUCUGACAUAACCCAUCGAAAGGUGAGCUAAUAUCAGAUGAUGCAGCGGCUUGACAUCAAGACAGUUGUUAAAGCUUCGGCGCCUGAAGAUGAGCCUGCGUCUGAUUAGCUAGUUGGCGGGGUAACGGCCCACCAAGGCUGCGAUCAGUAGCUGGUCUGAGAGGAUGAUCAGUCACACUGGAACUGAGACACGGUCCAGACUCCUACGGGAGCAGCAGUAAGGAAUAUUGCUCAAUGGCCGAAAGGCUGAAGCAGCAACGCCGCGUGAGGGAUGAAGGGCUUUUGCUUGUAAACCUCUGUAGCGAGAGACAAAACUCCCUA
Molecule: ribosomal RNA, 431 nt
Filed under: uncultured bacterium
Lineage: Bacteria
Description: bacterial SSU rRNA
Rfam family: Bacterial small subunit ribosomal RNA
Source: RNAcentral